AAGUCGAACGAAGUAUGUUUUUUCGGAAUGUACUUAGUGGCGGACGGGUGAGUAACGCGUGAAUAAUCUGCCCCAUACAGGGGGAUAGCCUCGGGAAACCGGGAUUAAAACCGCAUGAUGCUUUUUAUCGCAUGGUAGAGAAGUCAAAUCGAAUAAGAGGUAUGGGAUGAGUUCGCGUCUGAUUAGCUGGUUGGCGGGGUAAGAGCCCACCAAGGCGACGAUCAGUAGCCGGCCUGAGAGGGUGACCGGCCACACUGGGACUGAGACACGGCCCAGACUCC
Molecule: ribosomal RNA, 281 nt
Filed under: uncultured Eubacteriales bacterium
Lineage: Bacteria; Bacillati; Bacillota; Clostridia; Eubacteriales
Description: uncultured Clostridiales bacterium partial 16S ribosomal RNA
Rfam family: Bacterial small subunit ribosomal RNA
Source: RNAcentral